Small nuclear RNA from Otolemur garnettii (small-eared galago), 106 nucleotides. Lineage: Eukaryota; Metazoa; Chordata; Mammalia; Primates; Galagidae. The record is from Ensembl.
GUGCUCACGUUGGCAGCACCUAAACUAAAACUGGAAAGAUACAGAGAAGAUCAGCAUGGCCCAGCUCAAGGAUGACACGAAAAUUCAUGAAGUGUUCCACAUUUUU